GGCCCCCUCUCUCCGAACGUCCACCACUCGACCAAGAACCUGUGUGUUGUUUUAUUGUAGUGCAGUGUAGAGUUUUCGCGUGUAUAUCUGGCGUUGUUAUGUCCAUUUUUGUAAGUAGUUGUAAAUAGGUUGUCAAGUCGCGAUCACGCUUUGUUCACCUGAUGUAUAUCCUUCACUGCCGCAGCCUAGUAGGCGUGAGAAGCCAUUUUUGUUGAACAAGUUUUCUCCUGUUUUUUCAUUAGAAAGCUAGGUAAGUGACUUGUCUUUUGUUUGGCUUCUUUUUCAUUUGGUGUAGGGAAGCGUAGGGACCACUAGGGAGUUUUGUUUGUUGUUUUUGGCAUUGCUCACUGCCGACGAAAAUAAAUGGCUGCUUAACACUUUAAAAGGUAUCGUUGUUGGUGUUCUUGCUUGGGUGGGGAAUGAGUGGGCAAACUUCUUGUUGCGUUUAUUUACUCGCCUGGACUAAAAAUGUAACAUAAGUCAUUCUUUUAUGAACAAAACUCAAGACACAGCCUAAUAAAUCUUUCAGUCAUUUCUACCCCCCCAUCCCACAUGCAUACUACCCUUUAGGGCCCUGGGUGUAUAACAUGUCUGGCUCUGCCUCUGGAGUCAACAGUAUCCAUGACACACAACGUAACGUUCGAUAAUGUGUCAUAUGCAAAAGCAUCAGGUCUAAGAGCCGUGCUUACAGAGUGCUUUGUAGUCAAUCAGAAGAGUCGACUCCCAUUGAGCGAGAGCCGCUCCUCACUUAAUUUCCUUUCGCUGCCCAGCUCUCACACACUGGCUCAGCUAUGCUCGAAUACCUCCAUAUUGUGGCCAAUCACAUGCGUGGAUAUAGGAUAAUAUCAUUAUGUGAAAAACAGAGGGUGAGAGACGCGACAGUCAAGUGGAGCGUGCAUCUGUCCUCUCAGUGAGUGAGACAGUGGACAGCGGUGAGGAGGGCUGUACGAAAGCAAAAACACAUAAAUAUGCCGACACCCGUAAACAAAGCAGCAUCUGACUGCAGUUUAAAGACUUUUUUGUCUCAACUUGGUCUUGUCUUUGUUUCGGUUUAGGCAGUCUUGACCACAAGUCUACAUGGAGCUGAAAUAUGAUCCUGCUUCCUCAUUUGGACUCAUUCACCUCAGCUGACACGUUCAACAGUAGACAGGUUUUUGUAGCAGUCUGUCUCACUGUGGGAGGAAACGGCUACCUAUUCUUUGUCUCUGGAACUAAACUCUAUGUAACAGAUGAGCAGGUAGUGAAGCCCGUGGUGAGCGUGUACCCAGCAGCAUCCAGAGCCCACCUGGAGGGGAACAGCUCCCUGCUGUGUGUGGCCUCAGCCAUGUUUCCUCCUCUGGUCCAGUUCUCCUGGAAAAGACAGAAGAAGAACGGCGGAGAAGCGGAGGAGCUGCCCCCUGCUGAGGGAGAGCAGCUGGAGCUCAGAGAGGCGGGACGCACCAUUGCCAUCAGGAUGCUUGAUGGGAGCCAUUCUGACACAUAUAAAUACAGCUGCUGGGUGAAGCACGAGGGGGGCACAGUGGAGGCCCGAACACAACAAGUGUCCUUCCAGUCUCAGUGCAGGGUGAAGCUGCUCUGCCUGCUAUACACAGUGCUGAUAGUGAAGAGUCUGGUGUACUGCUGUGGACUCUCUCUGCUGAUGAUGCUCACAAACAAGGGAGCGUCCACCAACUGCACACAUGCUGACUGACUGUUUCCUGCUCGCCUUUUCUCACCAUCACAUCUCAUCAAUUCAUCUCAUUCAUCACUUUGAUCACAAAUGUUAGUUAUGAUGUGUUGAGCUUAUUUUGCCUUUUUCUUCAACAGUUAGAAGAUCGUCUGAAAUAAAUACAUCUUUACAUGUAUUGUUGCUCUGAGUUAGAAUUCUUUUUGUGCUUAUUGUGACUUUUAUUGUAGUAACAAAAACCAUCAGGAAUAUUUUUAUCACAAGUUUUUGUUUGAUUUUCAAAUGUCAAACAGUGUAGUUGUGUUUGUGUGAACAAUAAAGAUUUGAAGAUGAAGAG
Astatotilapia calliptera (eastern happy) is the source of this 2003-nucleotide long non-coding RNA. The record is from Ensembl. Lineage: Eukaryota; Metazoa; Chordata; Actinopteri; Cichliformes; Cichlidae.